CUGAUUGGAUGCGAGGGCUUCACCGCCUAUCAAAUCCGGCCAAACUCCGAAUGCUAGAACAUGAAUACAGGGAGUGAGCCAGCGGGUGCUAAGGUCCGUUGACGAAAGAGGGAGAACUCAGACCAUCAGCUAAGGUCCCCAAUUAUAUGCUAAGUUGGAAUAAAAACGGGGUGGGACUGCUAAGACAGCUAGGAUGUUGGCUUGGAAGCAGCCAUUCAUUUAAAGAGUGCGUAACAGCUCACUAGUCGAGCGGUCCUGCAUGGAUAAUACGCGGGCAUAAGCAUAUAACCGAAGCUAUGGGAUUGUAGAUGAUACAAUCGGUAGGAGAGCAUUCCAUUCAGCAUAGAAGCAGUACCGUGAGGUAUUGUGGAGCGGAUGGAAAAGCAAAUGUAGGCAUAAGUAACGAUAAUGCGGGUGAGAACCCCGCACGCCGAAAGAUCAAGGAUUCCCCGGCAAUGUCAAUCAUCCGGGGGUAAGUCGGAUCCUAAGGGUAAGCCGAGUGGCGAUCCCGAUGGUAAACAGGUUAAUAUUCCUGUACUGAUCAUAACUGCGAUGCAGCGACGCAGAGGUGACACUGCUGCGUACUGACGGAAUAGUACGUUGAAACCCGUAUUCUUUGAUACCGGUAGUGAAGCACGCCGGUAGAGAUGAAAGGUGAUAGUACCGCAAUGCUUCGGUUGCGCGGAUAAUGCAGGUAAGCUGACUGCCAAGAAAACCUGCUAAGCUUCAGGUAAUGAUCAUCCGUACUGUAAACGGACACACGUGAUCAGGUAGAAGAUACUAAGGCGCUCGAGAGAUUCAUGGUUAAGGAACUAGGCAAAAUGGUCCUGUAACUUCGGGAUAAAGGACGCUCUUUUACAAGAGCCGCAGAUAAUAGGCCCAGGCGACUGUUUACCAAAAACACAUGGCUAUGCUAAUUCGCAAGAAGAUGUAUAUGGCCUGACACCUGCCCGGUGCCGGAAGGUUAAGAGGAGGGGUUAGAGAGAUCGACGCUCCUAAUUGAAGCCCCGGUAAACGGCGGCCGUAACUAUAACGGUCCUAAGGUAGCGAAAUUCCUUGUCGGGUAAGUUCCGACCUGCACGAAUGGUGUAACGAUCUGGGUACUGUCUCAACCAUGAGCUCGGUGAAAUUGUAGUUCCGGUGAAGAUGCCGGAUACCCGCAACGGGACGGAAAGACCCCGUGAACCUUUACUGCAGCUUUGCAUUGAUUUUGGGUAACAGAUGUGUAGGAUAGGUCGGAGGCUUUGAUGCUGCGUCGUCAGGCGUAGAGUAGCCGUCGUUGAAAUACGACCCUUUUGUUAUCUGAGGUCUAACCCGUUAGGGAGACAUUGCAUGGUGGGUAGUUUGACUGGGGUGGUCGCCUCCAAAAGUGUAACGGAGGCUUCUCAAGGUACCCUCAAGGCGUUUGGUAACCGUCUGCAGAGUGCAAUGGCAUAAGGGCGCUUGACUGUGAG
Molecule: ribosomal RNA, 1454 nt
Filed under: human gut metagenome
Description: bacterial LSU rRNA
Rfam family: Bacterial large subunit ribosomal RNA
Source: RNAcentral